Prionailurus viverrinus (fishing cat) is the source of this 1528-nucleotide long non-coding RNA. RefSeq lists it as uncharacterized. NCBI's taxonomy places the organism in Eukaryota, Metazoa, Chordata, Mammalia, Carnivora, Felidae. The record is from RefSeq and is a predicted model, not a curated record. The transcript has 4 exons.
GUAACUGUUUGCAAUGAAGGCACUGUCACAAACUUUACUAUAGUUACCACCUUUACAAAGAAAAGAACAACAAAGCACAAGCUAACCUAAUAAAACUCAUCUAAGAGACUGUAAUCACUUGACUUUGAGAAUCUUCAAGGAUUUGAUUGGAAGCUGUCUUCCACAAAGAAUUCUUCCUAAACGAGACCAUGCCCAAUUCAACUUUAGAAGAUGCCUAUUAAGUAAUGGGGAAUUCUACGUACUAAGAUUCAGAGCAAAAGAAUGAAACAAUGCAAACAGGACCAAAGAACUCUUUGUCCCAGAGGCUUGUAAAACAAGCUGAAAUCCAGUAGGUUGGAAGCCAUCUCCCCACCUCCCAUCUCUUCCCACAUCAGAUUCCAACAAGAGAAAUUCUCCCUCUGGGAAUUUGUUGCCACCACCAUCUUGCAGCACAGAAAACUCUGGCUCCCUAGUUCUCAUGGAGGUGAGGCCGAAGUAGAAUCAUCAGCUAUCAAGAGCUGUAAUCAAAAUGGAGUUCUGCCAUGGCAGCUUUACAUAUGAGGGAGAAAUUCGUAAGUCAGCCAUUGAAUUUCAGAGGCUGCUUGUACUCUGAUUCAGCAACAUUCUUGUGAUGGGAAACUGCCGCACAGAGAAUUAAGGUGCUCAUUGUGAAAGAACAGAAACCUCAUCAUGUCCAGUGGGUACAAUGGGUCAUCUGCAGUGCACGCACACAGCAGGACACAUACAGCAGGAGCUCAACGGCCAAAAGGUGUGGGGAGGGAAGGCGGGAGAAGAAAAAAUUCAAACCCACACGAUCUGCUGGGGUCUGCAAGAGCACAGUAAAAAAGCACCUCUCCUUACCCUAGUCCUCUUAAAAUACCCUAUCUGAUGAGAUCUUCCCCUUCUUUUAAGAGUCAAACAAAAUGCUGCCAUCUUUGAGAGGCUUUCCUUGAAAACCCUAAACAGGGUUGGCAGUUUCCAUCUGUGUUCCAUUAGCACCCUGUAUUAAUUAUUAUAGCGCUUAUUAAAUCGCUACAGUGUAUUUACAUUUGUUUCCCCAGUAGAUACCUCCUCAAGUAAUGGAAUAUUUUAUUCAUCUUUGUAUUACCAGUACUUCGGACGGUGCUUGGCACAUUCAAGAGUCCAAUAAGUAUCGGUUAACGAAUGACUGUAUGGAUUUCUUCAAAUGUUGAAAGAAACAGAAAAAAUAAAAAUCAAAUGAACAGCUCCCAAAUGAAUUAAUUUGCCAGUCUUGCUACUAAGAAAAUGGGAUUUAAGCAUGAAACCUCAAAGUGGCCUUACCAGUAGAUCUGAAGGCACUGAAUAUCUAAGGUAGACAAAUUCAACAGUGUCCCUUUCCAUCACAUUUUUAAAAAGUUAUAAGGAAUACUCUUUCCUGGGCAUGCAAAAUCCUCAGUAAUGGGUAUGUAUGUUGUAUUUGGCAUUUCUGACGUCUAAAGAAAUAUUUAAGUCAGAUUGAACAUAUAUGCAGGGUUCAGCAAUAUUCAGAAGAAAAACUAUCCGAUUCCUUCAGGGGAAAUAAAGGGUU